GAAAGUUUCUUUUUCUUUUGUGUUAGUCUUGCAAGUUUGUCUACCAGUAAAAGAGCAAAGUUUCCUUCCUUUCUUGUUUUCUUUUUAUUUUUUCUUUUGUUCCCUCUUCCCUCCCACCUUUUUUUUUCUUUAAAAAUUCACCUGGCAAAAAAAUAAUAAUAAUAAAUAAAUGAAGCUAUCACUUUAUAAGAAUCAUUUUCUAGUAAUGCAAACAAAUUAUUUUUUAACAAAAAAAUAAAAUAAAAUAAAUAAAAUUAGACUUCCUUCCCUCGCUAUAUAUCUAUCUUUAUCCAGCCCGAGUAUUUCCAACGUCAUUUUGCAAAUUAGAACAGGACAAAUUUUAUGUUUCCGGGGCACAUAUGUUGUAUUGCAAAGCAUAUUUGGCAAGCAGUUCAUCACCAAGGCAGUAGCUAUGAUUCUAGAAGCUAAGAGGUGUCUAUAGAGCUAGACGGGCUUCUGCAUGUGAAAUGCUGUAUUCCAUAGGAGUUAAAAGUGCUGACUGAGCAGUCUGACCCCCACGUGGGCACCUGCACUACCAGUUGUUAGAGGAAAUUCACUCCCUCCUAGUGAGAGUUGAAAGGUCAAAUUAUUUUGAAGACAUUUUUUUUUUUUAAAGUUUUCUGUUAACAGGAAAAUUUAUUUAUUUGACAGGAUUUUAAGUAAUGUAGGAAUACAAAUGGUAAAUUAGCAGCACAUAUAAUUUUUUUUAAAUUUAUGAUCCAUUUUGUAUGGUCUCAAGUUGGAUGACCUCAUUACUAAUAUUUGUUGUAAAAGUGAAACUUGUUUGCCGACCAAUAAACAACUGAUUGAGAUUUAGAAGAGAUUGCUUUGACGUAUGUACUGUAUUAUCAAGUCCUCUUUUGACUUUUCUUGCCUUUCCUUUUCUCUGAUUUUCAGAAUCUAAACUCUCUUUAACCUUUGUGACCCAAGUGAGCAACACACACACACACACACACACACACACACACACACACACACACACACACAAACACACACACUAUAUCUGACUUGAAUAUCCAAACACAGCAUGGUACAGGUUUUUGCAGACAAACUGGACCAGGAAAAUGGGAUGGGCUGAAGCCAGGUACAUAGCUCCCAGUCAAGUGGAAUAACAAAGGUCCUGUGUACUUUCUUCAAACCCAUCUCUCCUCACUAGGCUUUUGACUAAAGACAGUUAUGCAGUGGUUUAAAUAUCACAUGAGAUGCAAUCAUCUCCCUGUCCCCUUUUUGUGGAGAAAUUUGUAAAUUUAAAUUUCCUCAGUUGGCUAAGAAAUGCAAUAGUAAUAGGAAAGAGGUUAUUCAUUGCACAAGAAGAGUUUAAGACCUUUAACACCAACACAGAGCGUUGGUUUCUUUAUGGCAACCUCAAACAAAAUUUGUUGUGUUGAUUCUUGUCCUCCAUCCCUCUGACUCCCCUUCUGUGGCCUCUGACACCUCACCCUGUCCCUGCUGUACCCUUCCCACCUUCAUGCCACAUAUGUAAGACUGUUUUACAUUAUUUUCAUCUUCUUCAAUGUUUGGGGGGGGGGGAACGGACAAAAAUAAUUCCUUCAAAAGAACUUUCUAGAUCAUGCUGUUCCUAUACGACCAGUAUCGAAGGAACGAGUAUUUUCAAGGAGCCCCAUGUAGAAUAAAGCUCAAAUGAACUUUCCAAACUGUAUUUUCUCUUGUGGUAUAUCCUUAGGCUUACUUUACAAAAGCCUACCCAAUAGCUAUCUAUAAAUGAUAUCUUAAAUCAAGGUGAGAGGCGUUGAGAGUCACCCAUAGACACUAUAAAGUCUGUGACAGAAGAAAUUGUGCCAGGCCAGAGCACCCAUUUGUUAAUCUGAAAGAAUCCAUGGAUCAUUCCAUUUUAGUCAGCUGGUGGCAAUAUUUUCUUGAAAUCCAUAGACAUUUUAAUUUGGAGGAGAAGCAUAAGCAUUAGAAGUAAUCACUUUUCUUACUCUAUGCCUUGAGAUUUUACCAAUCUUACCAACAUUACUGAUAACCUAUAUACUGAUAACCUAUAUUUGGUAAUUUUUUUUUUAAAUCCCUCUGUGGGCAAAUCUAACGAAGCCUCAGAACUAAGGCUCUGUUUGCAGGCUGCAGGUAGUUGUGCUUGGUUUAAAAAACAGUAUUCCCAAGUGAAAAUAUCAGUAAAAGGUCAGCUUCAUGGAAUAGUGGGGAAACGACUUCAGUUCAGGUGUUGAGUUGUCCCAUGCUCAGGCUUAACUACUUUCCUAUACAUGGUACUUUGUGUUUCAUUACCCAGAAUUUGAAACAGGUAACCUUCCCGUUUGUUCUGGGAACAAACUGAAGAAAGAUCACUUGAGUACAUAUAUAAAAUCGCAUAUAAGGCCUCUGCAUAUUGUGUGUUAACUUUGCACUUGCCUCAAGAUGAAAGGGCCGUUGUAGAUCUCUCAUAUAUCAGAAACGAAGUGCUUCAGAAAGUCGAGCUGCUUUGCUAUGUGACUCUAAUUAAACAAAAGGAAGAGUAGGUAAAGUAUUUAACUGUGCGUCACUUCAGUAGAAAUUUGUGUAUCCAAUUACUCCUGAUUAUAGCAGCUCUAUGAGUUUCUGACCCUCUCUUCCACCUGACAUUCCAUGUAAAGAAACUGAUCCAUUUAUGCUAUUCACUUUUUCUUUGUUCUAGAACCUUUUGUCGAUUCUAGGUGUUCAGUACCCAAUGGCAUUCAUUGAUAGGCUUAUUUGCAUAGUUUCCAUGAAGUAAAUUUCUACCAAACAGACUCACUGUACAUACAUGGCACAUUAUUUAGCCAGUUGAGAAAGUCAUGUAAAUGAAACAAGCCAAUUAUUGCUUCCUAGUAAAUAAUAUUUUUGUAAUAUUUUACGCUUGAAGUUUUUACCUCUUUGAGGUCUUAAGUAGUGAGAUACUUUGUCAGGGCACUAACUAAAGGACCUCAGGUUUAAUCAAUUCUUGUAUUGAUGGCUUGUUGCAUAGCCAAGGUUGUUAAUUAUAUAAGUAAAUAGAAAUUCAAAGAAGAAAAUUGGUUGGAAUUCAGUUACAUUUCGUGAGCAUCCUUCUUUGUUUUUAACAGUAAAUUUGAACACAUGGGAAAUAAAUACUAGAAUACUCUUAGUGAGUAAAAUUAAUUGGCAAGAGAAUAAUCACAAUUAUAUUAAAAUAAAAAUAAACAGCAAAAGCAAAGGCAGCUAAUUAAGUUAAUCAUAAUUUCCUAUAAAAAAAACCCAUGGUGGUUCCAAAUUAAAACACAGUUUAUGAUCUAUGCUGUUUUUAAGACCACCUCUACAAUUUAAAAGUUAAUACACUAAAAAAAUUCUUUAAAAAAUUAGGCUUUUAAUCUUGAGUGUUAAAAGUGUGAUGAAGCUCUGACUUAAAUUAUAACUUUAAAAACAUUUGUCAGUGACAGACUGUAGUUUUGUAAGAAGGGGGAAGAAAGCUUUUGUCUAACAAGUAACUCUGAACUGAAUUGUAUCCACGCUACAGGAAUGAAGUAUUUAGUUUUUUAGGUUGUUAAUUAACACUGUAUCAAACUCCCAGUACUUGAGAUAUAUUUUGUUGGAAAACAAAAACCACCAAUAAAACAAACAAAAAAAAAAGCCACUUUAACUAUAAAUGAAUGUCAACUUACAUGUAAAGUGUCAAAAAUAAACCAUCUGAAUUUAUAAUCUAAUUUUAAGUGGGACAUUGGCAUUAAUGUUUUACUCUAAGAAAAAUAAUUGGUAUAAAAUACUAUAUACAAGCUUCCCAAUAUAUUAUAUUUAGAAUACAAAGAUUUAAUUGCUCAGGUUUAGAAUAUCAUAAUCUGUCACAUAAACAAUUACUAUGCAUUCCUAAUUAGAAUCUAUAUAUUAGAUCUCUGCAUGUCAAAUUUUAGGAAGUUGAAGACACAAAAGGGACACAAGUACACACAAAACAGAUUUUUGGAAGCAUUUUUCUACAAAUGAAUUCUAUGUAGAAAAACUUUUUUAGAGUUCAUAAAAUAGAUUCCAAAGACUAAACUCAAUUUUGUAAUCAGGAUAUUUGUGUGUCUUAUACCAUUUGAAAAAUAUGGUUUUAGACAUCUCAAAUUUCAUUUAUAAUCCAAAAGCUAUAGCCAGUUGCUAUAGGUGUUUGUGUCCAUAGAGGACAUUUAUUUAAGGCAAUCAUUUACCUCGAUGAUAUCAUGUUUGCUUUAAAAGGGAAAGCGGUCUUUAAAUUGUCACCUGUUUAUGUGUUUACACAGUCUAAUUUUUAAUAAGAUUUCAGAGGAAGUAACUCUUUUACAAGUUUUCACUUGUGGUAUUUUCCAAUUAGGUAGUUUUGUAUAUUCUCAUUUUAAGUAAUUACUUUAGUCUUUUUAUUUAAAUUACAAUCAUUAGUUUGCCUCUAGCACUUUUAAGUUACUAUUAAAAUGUCUCAGUCCAAAUAUGUUUUUGAUCCUUUACCUGUUUUACCAGUAUAUUGAUUAUUCUUCUCUCCAUUUAUAGCUCUGCACCCACACACCCUUGUAGAACAUGAUAAAAGUAAGUGGAAAACUGAUUUAUGUGAAUCAAGGAACAGCUCACAGACGCCAUCUUCUUUUAACCAGCCAGGAUUUUCUUAAACAUAGUAUGAAUUUUUUCCCAACUACACAAAACUGACAUUAGAAUUUUAGAGAAAAGUUUUAGGGAAAAGUGGUGAAAUGGCUUAUGAUAAAAAGCUGUUGUACCUAAAACUACUGAUGUAUUAAAAGAUGUAAAUUCACAUACUUUCAUAAUUUUAAUACCACAGAAAAUACAACAUGCUUUUAGCCAUUCUUUUGUUUGUUUGUUUGUUUUAGAUAUUUCUUACCUGGUUAGAUCUUGUUGCACAGAAAUGUAAAUACUUCAUAAAAGUUUCUAAAAUGUAAGUAUUUUACAUCAACUCACCUUCACCUUCUGAUCUGCUAUUGAGCACCAACACACUUAAUGCUAACCGAGGCUUUUUUUUUUUUUAUGAAUCUCUCUAGUAAACAUUGAAUUCAUAUUAGAAGUAUAUGCAUUAUGCAAAAUAAUUGACAACCAAUAGUCUCAUUACAAAAUAAUUUGGCAUUUAUAUAUAAAUGCUAUUGACCUACCAAAUGACCACCAUGCUGACAGUCCUGUCUUCUACCACUGGAGUCACUUCACACAAUUCUGCAUAGAGCUGUACAUAUUCUGGACUGCUAAAAUAUCUAACAUUACAAAGCUUCAGAAUGGAUCCCCAGUGCUUCUUCCAAGGUAGAAAAGUGAAGGGAAGAUUUUGAAGGAGGAAGUAAUCCAGGCUUCGAGAGAUCUGACUUAGUCAUUGUUCUUGAGACCCAAUAGUUUAAUGUUGACGUGCUAUGAUCUUUGAACUAAGGAGGAAGUUGC
RNAcentral lists this long non-coding RNA (5313 nucleotides) under Mus musculus (house mouse). RNAcentral describes it as "long non-coding RNA chr5:81795819-81801132". The record is from RNAcentral. Lineage: Eukaryota; Metazoa; Chordata; Mammalia; Rodentia; Muridae.